UACGUAGGGUGCAAGCGUUAAUCGGAAUUACUGGGCGUAAAGCGUGCGCAGGCGGUUAUGCAAGACAGAUGGGAAAUCCCCGGGCUUAACCUGGGAACUGCAUUUGUGACUGCAUAGCUAGAGUACGGUAGAGGGGGAUGGAAUUCCGCGUGUAGCAGUGAAAUGCGUAGAUAUGCGGAGGAACACCGAUGGCGAAGGCAGUCCCCUGGACCUGUACUGACGCUCAUGCACGAAAGCGUGGGGAGCAAACAGG
This 253-nucleotide ribosomal RNA is filed under the name uncultured bacterium. RNAcentral describes it as "partial 16S ribosomal RNA". It matches the Rfam family "Bacterial small subunit ribosomal RNA", at positions 524 to 776 of the family's 1533-position model. The record is from RNAcentral.